UUAGGGUUUCCCUUCCUUUCUUUACCUCAGCCGCUCGCAUCUUUCCUUUCUUUUCCUAAUCUAUCAUCUCCUCUUUUCCUCCCAGAACUAAAGAAGAAUAAAACUAUGCUCUUUUGUGUUUCCCAACGUUGAGCCACCAUCUCAAAAUCUGUACUCCCACCGUCCUACUCUCUGUGACAGCCACCCCGACGAGAAUUUUACUGCAUAUGUUUAGGGUUUUGAUUUCCCCCCCCCCUUAUUUCUGUCUUCAUUCUAGCGUCGUGCUGCCUGUGCAUGUGGGUUUCUCCUACUUCUAUUACUAGCGGGAACACUUGCCUCCGCUGCUUAUCUUAUCAGGAGAAUGUGUUGUUGAUUUUGCUUAGUGUUAACUAUAAUUUUUCUAUUGGUAGAUGUUAUAAUUUGAUCUAAAUCUGUUUCUCAUUGUUAUUCCUGUUUGUUUUUUUCAUCAUAUCGUUAAUCACUUGAGAUAUGGGUAGGCGUGAUUCUUCAUUUGUUUUCGUCUAAUUCUUAAUGAUGGAAGGAAUCUCUCUAAUUUUUAGUUUUCCAUUUCUUCUUCUUUGGAUACCAUCCCUACCUACAUCGAAGCUUUAAGUAAGAAUUCAAUGUCUAUAAGUGGAAAGCGAAUAAAUAUGCUUGCCUUGUUAAUGUUGACGAUGCUUUGAAUUUGAUUAAUAAGAUGAUUGGCAAAUACCCAAAGCCUUCAAGUUGUGAUAUUUGAUAAAUCACUAGAUCCGUUCUUAAGAUUUAACAUUAUGCUAUUGUUGUUUCUAUACGUUGCCGGAUGGAAUUAUUAGGAGUUCCCCGUGAUGUUUAUUCUUUAAGCAUCUUGUGAAUUGCUUUUGUCAAUUAGAUCAAAUUGAUUUUUGAUUUUCUGUGUUGGUAGAAAAUGCUGCUGUUAGGUGUUGGACCUAUUAUUGUAACUAUUUUUACUUUAAUAAAUGGACUUUGUAAUUGAAGUAAGAUUUCUUAGGAUGUGAGCUUGUUUGAUUAUAUUAUUAUAUAAUGAACCUUUUUUAUAUGAUUAUAGAAUCAAACAAACUCACAGCCUAAUGUUGUCAUCUUUAAUGCAUUUGUUGUUGUACAUUACAUGAGAACCGUUGAGUGGCCUAAGUGCUAAAAGAUCAGGGUUCGAGUAGUUCUCUCUCUGUAGAGUGUGUGUGCGUUGUUAAUGGCUUUUAAAGUUGAGGAUAGUGUUGAAACAAUGAUAAAGGGAGGCAUUGAGCAGGUAAGGACUUCGUCUUUUUCUUGCAAUGAAGAAAUGUUUAUAGUACGAUUUGCAAAAUUUUUGUGUAACACAGUGCAAGACUUAUUCAAUGGUGCCUUUUGCAGGAUGUAUAGGUUCGGUUUUCUGAUUUUGGAUAAGAGGAUGAGUGGGUUAACAUUUGCAAGAAUGUCAGGCAAAGGUACCUUCAGUGUGGGGUAUCUGUGUGCGAUGCAGUUCUUCCAAGGGAUUUUAUACUUUGUUGUCAGGUUGUGUAGUUCUUCUUGGCGAUCUUAUACUUUGUUUUCAGGAAGUUAAAGAUCGAACUCUUUUCUUCAAUGCCAUGUCCUUAAUGCACGAAGGUGGAGACAUGAUGUAAUAGGUUGUUGUUGUUGUAGAUUUUUGGUGCGGUAAGAUCAUGAUGUGUUCGGGAUUUUAGUACUGUAUUAUUGUUGCCAAUACAUGUGUUUUGUUUUCCUAUAUAUAAUUUCAUCGCUUGAGCUUUGCAUUUUCAUGGCUUUUAAGAUCUCAGUAAUAACAUAAACUUUCAACCUAUGUUGCACGGGAAUGGUAACCAAUGCCAUUUCAAGAACCUAAUAUGUCCCUGAGAUGCGUAUGAGACGGACACAACUGGGUAUGUACCAAAGGCGUCCAUGUUAAAGGGGUACAGCUAGAAUUAGUUGGGUAAGUUGGCUAAGUCGAAGAGUAUCGGGAUGUCAUUUGAUCUUUCCAUGUGUACAUUUAGUGUUUUGUUUUUCUAUUGGAUACAUUUAGCGUGUGUGUGGACUCUAAACUUUUACAUGUAACUUCGUUUAAAAAUGUCAGAA
Molecule: long non-coding RNA, 2028 nt
Organism: Hibiscus syriacus
Lineage: Eukaryota; Viridiplantae; Streptophyta; Magnoliopsida; Malvales; Malvaceae
Exons: 2
Source: RefSeq, a predicted model, not a curated record